RNAcentral lists this ribosomal RNA (401 nucleotides) under uncultured bacterium. Its description in RNAcentral is "bacterial SSU rRNA". It matches the Rfam family "Bacterial small subunit ribosomal RNA", at positions 355 to 773 of the family's 1533-position model. The record is from RNAcentral.
UGGGGAAUCUUGGACAAUGGGCGCAAGCCUGAUCCAGCCAUGCCGCGUGAGUGAAGAAGGUCUUCGGAUUGUAAAGCUCUUUUGCCGGGGACGAUGAUGACGGUACCCGCAGAAGAAGCCCCGGCUAACUUCGUGCCAGCAGCCGGGGUAAUACGAAGGGGGCUAGCGUUGGUCGGAAUUACUGGGCGUAAAGGGCGCGCAGGCGGCCGCUCAAGUCAGGUGUGAAAGCCCCGGGCUCAACCUGGGAACUGCACUUGAUACUGAGUGGCUAGAGUUCGGGAGAGGAGAGUGGAAUUCCCAGUGUAGAGGUGAAAUUCGUAGAUAUUGGGAAGAACACCGGUGGCGAAGGCGGCUCUCUGGACCGAUACUGACGCUGAGGCGCGAAAGCGUGGGGAGCAAAC